This 543-nucleotide long non-coding RNA is filed under the name Erythranthe guttata (spotted monkey flower). RNAcentral describes it as "long non-coding RNA (EGUT_LNC001049)". Lineage: Eukaryota; Viridiplantae; Streptophyta; Magnoliopsida; Lamiales; Phrymaceae. The record is from RNAcentral.
UAAUUAAUUAAAUGUAUACAUUAUGCUGGAAAUUGAAGAAUUUACACUUGUUUAAUUUUAACACACAAAAUAAUAAUAAAUAGCACAAUCUAAUUAUUCAACAAAAUAUUCCAUAUUUUAUAAUUUCAUUUCUAUUUAGCGGAAACUUGGUAAUGCUUGGCAGAAGCAAAACCCCUCUGCCUCAAGCCAUUUUCGGCACUCAGCGGCGGGGAAGCCGAAGACAAGUAACCGGCUGAGGUCUGCGGCGGCUGGAAAUCGGAUCGGGUGCGGCGGUGGGAGGAUCCGUCGACGGAAUCUCCGGCGAGGAGGAGGUGGUAGCUUCGGCCGAUGGAGUUCUCCGACAGGGAGCGGUAAACAUUUUGCGGCUUCUGCUUCUUCACGGCGCGGAGGAGGAACGGUAUCAAGCCUUCCAUUUUCAAGCAACGGGUGGCGGCGGCGGCGGCGGCGGGUGAUUUAGAUUUCUUAAGUGCUUUGCUAAUUGAAGUAGAUAAAAUGUGAUUUGUUAAACUUACAGAAGGCCGAUAUGAAUUUAUAUACUGGUUU